CAGCCGCCACGGUAAUACGGAGGGUGCAAGCGUUAAUCGGAAUUACUGGGCGUAAAGCGUGCGUAGGCGGUUCGUUAAGUCUGUUGUGAAAGCCCCGGGCUCAACCUGGGAAUGGCAAUGGAUACUGGCGAGCUAGAGUGUGUCAGAGGAUGGUGGAAUUCCCGGUGUAGCGGUGAAAUGCGUAGAGAUCGGGAGGAACAUCAGUGGCGAAGGCGGCCAUCUGGGACAACACUGACGCUGAGGCACGAAAGCGUGGGGAGCAAACAGGAUUAGAUACCCGGGUAGUCCCUGUCUCUUAUAA
RNAcentral lists this ribosomal RNA (301 nucleotides) under uncultured bacterium. RNAcentral describes it as "partial 16S ribosomal RNA". It matches the Rfam family "Bacterial small subunit ribosomal RNA", at positions 509 to 809 of the family's 1533-position model. The record is from RNAcentral.